Molecule: ribosomal RNA, 440 nt
Filed under: uncultured bacterium
Lineage: Bacteria
Description: bacterial SSU rRNA
Rfam family: Bacterial small subunit ribosomal RNA
Source: RNAcentral
GAUGAACGCUGGCGGCGUGCUUAACACAUGCGAGUCGAACGGGAAACCUUUUAUUGAAGCUUCGGCAGAUUUAGAUUGUUUCUAGUGGCGGACGGGUGAGUAACGCGUGGGUAACCUGCCUUAUACAGGGGGAUAACAGUCAGAAAUGACUGCUAAUACCGCAUAAGCGCACAGAGCUGCAUGGCUCGGUGUGAAAAACUCCGGUGGUAUAAGAUGGACCCGCGUUGGAUUAGCUAGUUGGUGAGGUAACGGCCCACCAAGGCGACGAUCCAUAGCCGGCCUGAGAGGGUGAACGGCCACAUUGGGACUGAGACACGGCCCUGACUCCUACGGGAGGCAGCAGUGGGGAAUAUUGCACAAUGGGGGAAACCCUGAUGCAGCGACGCCGCGUGAAGGAAGAAGUAUCUCGGUAUGUAAACUUCUAUCAGCAGGGAAGAAAA